CCGCCCGUCACAUCACGAAAGUGGGCUGUACUAGAAGUCGCCGCGCCAACCGCAAGGAGGCAAGCGCCCAAGGUAUGACUCAUGAUUGGGGUG
This 93-nucleotide ribosomal RNA is filed under the name uncultured bacterium. RNAcentral's name for it is "partial 16S ribosomal RNA". It matches the Rfam family "Bacterial small subunit ribosomal RNA", at positions 1390 to 1482 of the family's 1533-position model. The record is from RNAcentral.